GCCAGACUCCUACGGGAGGCAGCAGUGAGGAAUAUUGGUCAAUGGGCGGAAGCCUGAACCAGCCAAGUCGCGUGAGGGAAUAAGGCCCUACGGGUCGUAAACCUCUUUUGCCGGGGAGCAAGGGCGGGGACGUGUCCCGGCCCGGAGAGUACCCGGAGAAAAAGCAUCGGCUAACUCCGUGCCAGCAGCCGCGGUAAUACGGAGGAUGCGAGCGUUAUCCGGAUUUAUUGGGUUUAAAGGGUGCGUAGGCGGACAGUCAAGUCAGCGGUAAAAAUGCGGUGCUCAACGCCGUACAGCCGUUGAAACUGGCAGUCUUGAGUGGGCGAGAAGUAUGCGGAAUGCGUGGUGUAGCGGUGAAAUGCAUAGAUAUCACGCAGAACCCCGAUUGCGAAGGCAGCCUUCCGGCGCCCUACUGACGCUGAGGCACGAAAGUGCGGGGAUCGAACAGGAUUAGAUACCCGAGUAUA
This 467-nucleotide ribosomal RNA is filed under the name uncultured bacterium. RNAcentral's name for it is "partial 16S ribosomal RNA". It matches the Rfam family "Bacterial small subunit ribosomal RNA", at positions 330 to 794 of the family's 1533-position model. The record is from RNAcentral.